RNAcentral lists this ribosomal RNA (28 nucleotides) under Iresine angustifolia. RNAcentral's name for it is "26S ribosomal RNA". The record is from RNAcentral. Lineage: Eukaryota; Viridiplantae; Streptophyta; Magnoliopsida; Caryophyllales; Amaranthaceae.
GACCCCAGGUCAGGCGGGGUUACCCGCU